RNAcentral lists this ribosomal RNA (309 nucleotides) under Klebsiella quasipneumoniae subsp. quasipneumoniae. Its description in RNAcentral is "partial 23S ribosomal RNA". It matches the Rfam family "Bacterial large subunit ribosomal RNA", at positions 2075 to 2383 of the family's 2925-position model. The record is from RNAcentral. Lineage: Bacteria; Pseudomonadati; Pseudomonadota; Gammaproteobacteria; Enterobacterales; Enterobacteriaceae.
GCAAGACGGAAAGACCCCGUGAACCUUUACUAUAGCUUGACACUGAACAUUGAGCCUUGAUGUGUAGGAUAGGUGGGAGGCUUUGAAGCGUGGACGCCAGUCUGCGUGGAGCCAACCUUGAAAUACCACCCUUUAAUGUUUGAUGUUCUAACGUAGGCCCCUAAUCGGGGUUGCGGACAGUGUCUGGUGGGUAGUUUGACUGGGGCGGUCUCCUCCCAAAGCGUAACGGAGGAGCACGAAGGUUAGCUAAUCCUGGUCGGACAUCAGGAGGUUAGUGCAAUGGCAUAAGCUAGCUUGACUGCGAGCGUG